CAGGCCUAACACAUGCAAGUCGAGCGGAGUUAUUUUGAAAGCUUGCUUUCAAAAUAACUUAGCGGCGGACGGGUGAGUAACACGUAGGCAACCUGCCCCUUAGACUGGGAUAACUACCGGAAACGGUAGCUAAUACCGGAUAAUUUCUUUUUUCUCCUGAAGAAAGAAUGAAAGACGGAGCAAUCCUGUCACUGAGGGAUGGGCCUGCGGCGCAUUAGCUAGUUGGUGGGGUAACGGCCCACCAAGGCGACGAUGCGUAGCCGACCUGAGAGGGUGAACGGCCACACUGGGACUGAGACACGGCCCAGACUCCUACGGGAGGCAGCAGUAGGGAAUCUUCCGCAAUGGACGAAAGUCUGACGGAGCACCGCCGCGUGAGUGAUGAAGGUUUUCGGAUCGUAAAGCUCUGUUGCCAGGGAAGAACG
Molecule: ribosomal RNA, 425 nt
Filed under: Paenibacillus sp. Lgg20.10
Lineage: Bacteria; Bacillati; Bacillota; Bacilli; Caryophanales; Paenibacillaceae
Description: bacterial SSU rRNA
Rfam family: Bacterial small subunit ribosomal RNA
Source: RNAcentral